UACGGAGGGUGCAAGCGUUAUCCGGAUUCACUGGGUUUAAAGGGUGCGUAGGAGGGCAGGUAAGUCAGUGGUGAAAUCCCCAAGCUUAACUUGGGAACUGUCAUUGAUACUAUCUGUCUUGAAUACCGUGGAGAUGAGCGGAAUAUGUCAUGUAGCGGUGAAAUGCUUAGAUAUGACAUAGAACACCAAUUGCGAAGGCAGCUCGUUACACGAAUAUUGACUCUGAGGCACGAAAGCGUGGGGAUCAAACAGG
This 253-nucleotide ribosomal RNA is filed under the name uncultured bacterium. RNAcentral describes it as "partial 16S ribosomal RNA". It matches the Rfam family "Bacterial small subunit ribosomal RNA", at positions 524 to 776 of the family's 1533-position model. The record is from RNAcentral.